RNAcentral lists this ribosomal RNA (497 nucleotides) under uncultured bacterium. RNAcentral's name for it is "partial 16S ribosomal RNA". It matches the Rfam family "Bacterial small subunit ribosomal RNA", at positions 28 to 507 of the family's 1533-position model. The record is from RNAcentral.
GAUGAACGCUGGCGGCGUGCCUAAUACAUGCAAGUCGAGCGAACGGACGAGAAGCUUGCUUCUCUGAUGUUAGCGGCGGACGGGUGAGUAACACGUGGAUAACCUACCUAUAAGACUGGGAUAACUUCGGGAAACCGGAGCUAAUACCGGAUAAUAUUUUGAACCGCAUGGUUCAAAAGUAAAAGACGGUCUUGCUGUCACUUAUAGAUGGAUCCGCGCUGCAUUAGCUAGUUGGUAAGGUAACGGCUUACCAAGGCAACGAUGCAUAGCCGACCUGAGAGGGUGAUCGGCCACACGGGAACUGAGACACGGUCCAGACUCCGACGGGAGGCAGCAGUAGGGAAUGUUCCGCAAUGGGCGAAAGCCUGACGGAGCAAGGCCGCGUGAGAUAUGAAGGCCUUGGGAUCGUAAAGCUCGGUUAUUAGGGAAGAACAGCUGUGGAAGGAAAUGUGGCGAUAUUGACGGUACCUAAUAAGAAAGCACCGGCUAACUACGUG